UUUUGUUGUUAAAUCUUGUUUUUUCUUUUUUUGUUUGUCUUUUUGAGAUGGCUUGUUUGUUUGUUUGUUUGUUUUAAUGAUGGGAACGUUUAAAAUUAAUAGAAAGCAUCAAUUUCAGAUAAGAACACUCAAAAUAAUUAAAAAUUUAGAUUUACUGAUAGUUUAUUCCCAUAUUUUUGAUUUAUUGUUGACAAGAUACAAUAGUAUAUCCAGGGGUGGCUCAUGCAUAGGUACUGGGGAACUGCAGCACCCCAAUUUUCCUCAAUAUACAAAUAUAUUUAUUAAUAUUUGCUUAUAAUAUUUAUUGUCAACAAUCCCAUACAGUUCUCUUAUUUUGUAUAAAAAAUAAUAAAAAUCCAUCUUGUAGCAUUUAGGAAAGCAAAGGAUGCUAGCAGCAUUGUGUUUAUCACAGUUCCAUAUUGUUACUUGCACAAGCAUAUGCACAUCAUAGUGAGACAUGAGUUAUUAGCAUAAUCCGACACUGUCUGUUGCACAGUUCCACUGUUACUUAU
RNAcentral lists this long non-coding RNA (512 nucleotides) under Androctonus crassicauda. Lineage: Eukaryota; Metazoa; Arthropoda; Arachnida; Scorpiones; Buthidae. The record is from RNAcentral.